CUGAGAGGCAGUGACUUGUGUUAGUAGAAGAAAGUCACUAAAGUUUUACUGUGGGUCGAAAGAGCUACAGAUGCUGGCGGACCUAAUUAUUGAAACACACUCAAAUGGUCUCUCUUUUUUAAACAUAGGGAGCAAUACAUGGAAAGACUGCUGUGCUGGCCCAUCGUGGUGCCUUUUGCAAAGAUCAGAUCAUCCAAGAGGCCCGCUCUGAUCUGACCAAAGACUUUAUAGCCAUUUGGUGGUUGAUGAAGACACAGCGCUGGAAAUCUUGGAACCACCCCAGGUCCUGACUCCUCAAGACACCCCAAGCAAGGGCUUUUUCUGUGGUUGGUAAAACAAAGAUUACACGCUCAGCUGUGUUAACAAAGGAGACAUGGCACCAGCACUCAACUCCGCACCCUUCCACUGACAGGAACCUCCAGGAGAGAAUGAGUCUCAUCCAUGCAAAGAUGAAGUAUACAGGGCUGGAAAAGUGGGGGUCGAGGAGAAUGAACAGGGUACCUGAUCCUACUUGUAUCCAAUGGAAGUUGCCAGAGGAAGAAUUGUACGCAGGAGAGGUGUGGACAUCCUCCUGAGGCUUUCCCAGUCUCCCCAGGAGCCAUCU
Long non-coding RNA from Camelus dromedarius (Arabian camel), 604 nucleotides. RefSeq lists it as uncharacterized. Lineage: Eukaryota; Metazoa; Chordata; Mammalia; Artiodactyla; Camelidae. The transcript is spliced from 4 exons. The record is from RefSeq and is a predicted model, not a curated record.